GAUGAACGCUGGCGGUGUGCCUAAUACAUGCAAGUCGAGCGAACAGACGAGGAGCUUGCUCCUCUGACGUUAGCGGCGGACGGGGGAGUAACACGUGGAUAACCUACCUAUAAGACUGGGAUAACUUCGGGAAACCGGAGCUAAUACCGGAUAAUAUAUUGAACCGCAUGGUUCAAUAGUGAAAGACGGUUUUGCUGUCACUUAUAGAUGGAUCCGCGCCGCAUUAGCUAGUUGGUAAGGUAACGGCUUACCAAGGCAACGAUGCGUAGCCGACCUGAGAGGGUGAUCGGCCACACUGGAACUGAGACACGGUCCAGACUCCUACGGGAGGCAGCAGUAGGGAAUCUUCCGCAAUGGGCGAAAGCCUGACGGAGCAACGCCGCGUGAGUGAUGAAGGUCUUCGGAUCGUAAAACUCUGUUAUUAGGGAAGAACAAAUGUGUAAGUAACUAUGCACGUAUUGACGGUACCUAAUCAGAAAGCCACGGCUAACUACGUG
Molecule: ribosomal RNA, 497 nt
Filed under: uncultured bacterium
Lineage: Bacteria
Description: partial 16S ribosomal RNA
Rfam family: Bacterial small subunit ribosomal RNA
Source: RNAcentral